RNAcentral lists this ribosomal RNA (497 nucleotides) under uncultured bacterium. RNAcentral describes it as "partial 16S ribosomal RNA". It matches the Rfam family "Bacterial small subunit ribosomal RNA", at positions 28 to 507 of the family's 1533-position model. The record is from RNAcentral.
GACGAACGCUGGCGGCGUGCCUAAUACAUGCAAGUUGAGCGCUGAAGGUUGGUACUUGUACCGACUGGAUGAGCAGCGAACGGGUGAGUAACGCGUGGGGAAUCUGCCUUUGAGCGGGGGACAACAUUUGGAAACGAAUGCUAAUACCGCAUAAAAACUUUAAACACAAGUUUUAAGUUUGAAAGAUGGAAUUGCAUCACUCAAAGAUGAUCCCGCGUUGUAUUAGCUAGUUGGUGAGGUAAAGGCUCACCAAGGCGAUGAUACAUAGCCGACCUGAGAGGGUGGUCGGCCACAUUGGGACUGAGACACGGCCCAAACUCCUACGGGAGGCAGCAGUAGGGGAUCUUCGGCAAUGGACGAAAGUCUGACCGAGCAACGCCGCGUGAGUGAAGAAGGUUUUCGGAUCGUAAAACUCUGUUGGUAGAGAAGAACGUUGGUGAGAGUGGAAAGCUCAUCGAGUGACGGUAACUACCCAGAAAGGGACGGCUAACUACGUG